CCUACGGGAGGCAGCAGUGGGGAAUCUUGCGCAAUGGGCGAAAGCCUGACGCAGCCAUGCCGCGUGAAUGAUGAAGGUCUUAGGAUUGUAAAAUUCUUUCACCGGGGACGAUAAUGACGGUACCCGGAGAAGAAGCCCCGGCUAACUUCGUGCCAGCAGCCGCGGUAAUACGAAGGGGGCUAGCGUUGCUCGGAAUUACUGGGCGUAAAGGGAGCGUAGGCGGAUAGUUUAGUCAGAGGUGAAAGCCCAGGGCUCAACCUUGGAAUUGCCUUUGAUACUGGCUAUCUUGAGUAUGGGAGAGGUAUGCGGAACUCCGAGUGUAGAGGUGAAAUUCGUAGAUAUUCGGAAGAACACCAGUGGCGAAGGCGGCAUACUGGCCCAUUACUGACGCUGAGGCUCGAAAGCGUGGGGAGCAAACAGGAUUAGAUACCCUGGUAGUCCACGCUGUAAACGAUGAGUGCUAGUUGUCGGCAUGCAUGCAUGUCGGUGACGCAGCUACGACAUAAGACACUCCGCCGUCGGGAGGUACGGUCGCGAAGAAGUUAAAACUAACGAAAGAAGUAGACGGCGUGAGACGUGCCGAACGGACGACGACGAGGGAGGAGG
RNAcentral lists this ribosomal RNA (606 nucleotides) under uncultured bacterium. RNAcentral describes it as "bacterial SSU rRNA". The stretch from base 1 to 517 matches the Rfam family "Bacterial small subunit ribosomal RNA", at positions 338 to 873 of the family's 1533-position model. The record is from RNAcentral.